Long non-coding RNA from Megalobrama amblycephala (Wuchang bream), 195 nucleotides. RefSeq lists it as uncharacterized. NCBI's taxonomy places the organism in Eukaryota, Metazoa, Chordata, Actinopteri, Cypriniformes, Xenocyprididae. The record is from RefSeq and is a predicted model, not a curated record. The transcript is spliced from 3 exons.
GAUGAUGAGAAUUGUGUUUGUUAUAAAUACCGUGUGCACAUGUGUCUCCUUAAGAGAAUUCUAGAGUUUUCCUUCUGUUCACACAUUCAACAUGCUGGUGCAAAAGCUAAGCUGGAUCGCUGUGCUGCUCGUACUGUGUCAACAUGGUGUAGAAGCAAAAAGGAUAGUUGCCUGUGAAGGAACAUCUGCAUUUCC